This 468-nucleotide ribosomal RNA is filed under the name uncultured bacterium. RNAcentral describes it as "partial 16S ribosomal RNA". It matches the Rfam family "Bacterial small subunit ribosomal RNA", at positions 28 to 507 of the family's 1533-position model. The record is from RNAcentral.
GACGAACGCUGGCGGCGUGCUUAACACAUGCAAGUCGAACGGAAAGGCCCUGCUUUUGUGGGGUGCUCGAGUGGCGAACGGGUGAGUAACACGUGAGUAACCUGCCCUUGACUUUGGGAUAACUUCAGGAAACUGGGGCUAAUACCGGAUAGGAGCUCCUGCUGCAUGGUGGGGGUUGGAAAGUUUCGGCGGUUGGGGAUGGACUCGCGGCUUAUCAGCUUGUUGGUGGGGUAGUGGCUUACCAAGGCUUUGACGGGUAGCCGGCCUGAGAGGGUGACCGGCCAAAUUGGAACUGAGAUACGGCCCAGACUCCUACGGGAGGCAGCAGUGGGGAAUAUUGCACAAUGGGCGGAAGCCUGAUGAAGCAACGCCGCGUGCGGGAUGACGGCCUUCGGGUUGUAAACCGCUUUCGCCUGUGACGAAGCGUGAGUGACGGUAAUGGGUAAAGAAGCACCGGCUAACUACGUG